UACAGAGGGGGCAAGCGUUGUUCGGAAUUACUGGGCGUAAAGGGCGCGUAGGCGGCCCGCUAAGUCGAACGUGAAAUCCCCGGGCUCAACCCGGGAACUGCGUCCGAUACUGGUGGGCUCGAAUCCGGGAGAGGGAUGCGGAAUUCCGAGUGUAGAGGUGAAAUUCGUAGAUAUUGGGAAGAACACCGGUGGCGAAGGCGGCUCACUGGCCCGUAACUGACGCUCAUGCACGACAGCGUGGGGAUCAAACAGG
RNAcentral lists this ribosomal RNA (253 nucleotides) under uncultured bacterium. RNAcentral's name for it is "partial 16S ribosomal RNA". It matches the Rfam family "Bacterial small subunit ribosomal RNA", at positions 524 to 776 of the family's 1533-position model. The record is from RNAcentral.